RNAcentral lists this long non-coding RNA (696 nucleotides) under Coturnix japonica (Japanese quail). RNAcentral describes it as "lncRNA (ENSCJPG00005017942.1)". Lineage: Eukaryota; Metazoa; Chordata; Aves; Galliformes; Phasianidae. The record is from RNAcentral.
ACAGUGAUGGUGUGAAGACCUGAUGUCUUCACUGCUCAGAAACAUGUGUAAAUUAAUAGGCUACUGGGAGAAGAUGAAGAAGCUUUUGCAGAAACAUGAGGAUAUUGUGGGAAAUACUGCUGUUAACCAUUUGGAUUAUAUUGCUGUCUGACACAGAGGUUCUGCAGAUAACGUAAGGUUGUCUUAUACUGCAAUAGACACAGUCAAAUCCUGCCUGACCCAGAGCUGGCCCAAGCCUGCCGACUUCUGUAGAUAACUGCCUCUGGUGUGUGGUGCAGGUCUGAAAGCUCUUGAGUGAGUAAUGUAUUAGAAUGGUCUCCACUUCUCCAAGGGGAGCACAAGCUUGAAGUGGGGCAUGCUGUAAGUCACCUGACUUAAGGCAUCAGAGUGAAACUGGCAGAUUCAAAGCUUAACUGCUGCAUUAACUUUUGUCUUCUACUUUGAAGUCAGCUCAUUUUAAAUAGGAAAACAUGCAUCUUUCUUCAUUACCACUAACGAAGGCACUGAAGGAUGAGUCGAUGCCAUUUGUUACAGUCUGCUGUUUGCUAAAUAUGGUACCAGAAGCAGAAAAGAGUGAGCAAGGAAGCUCCUUUGGACAAGCGGGUUCUUGAUAUGAAACAUGAAAGAAAGCAGAGUUGAGUGACUUACUCAAACGCCAUGCUGUGGUCUAAGUCAGCUGUAAGCACUUGGAGCAUC